Molecule: ribosomal RNA, 496 nt
Filed under: uncultured bacterium
Lineage: Bacteria
Description: partial 16S ribosomal RNA
Rfam family: Bacterial small subunit ribosomal RNA
Source: RNAcentral
GAUGAACGCUGGCGGCGUGCCUAAUACAUGCAAGUCGAGCGAACGGACGAGAAGCUUGCUUCUCUGAUGUUAGCGGCGGACGGGUGAGUAACACGUGGAUAACCUACCUAUAAGACUGGGAUAACUUCGGGAAACCGUAGCUAAUACCGGAUAAUAUUUUGAACCGCAUGGUUCAAAAGUGAAAGACGGUCUUGCUGUCACUUAUAGAUGGAUCCGCGCUGCAUUAGCUAGUUGGUAAGGUAACGGCUUACCAAGGCAACGAUGCAUAGCCGACCUGAGAGGGUGAUCGGCCACACUGGAACUGAGACACGGUCCAGACUCCUACGGGAGGCAGCAGUAGGGAAUCUGCCGCAAGGGGCGAAAGCCUGACGGAGCAACGCGGCGUGAGUGAUGAAGGUCUUCGGAUCGUAAAACUCUGUUAUUAGGGAAGAACAUAUGUGUAAGUAACUGUGCACAUCUUGACGGUACCUAAUCAGAAAGCCACGGCUAACUACGG